UUGUAGAUGACCAGUGUAUAUCUCUACUUGAGGAAUUCUCCAAAGAUCCAGAGCCGAUUGUUUCAUAGAGCUGUGAAGUGGCUCUAAACAUACUGGAUUUUGAACGAUCCGGCAAACCAUUCGAGUACAUCUUUAUGUAGGCACCUCAAUUGCAGGAGGCAGCAUGAUGGUUUCACUUUGUUGUGUGUUUUGUUACCAUUGAGUACUAAAUGGCAUACAUUUGGAUAGAGUUUUGAAUGAUUUACUCAACAUUAUUAUUUGAAUGGUU
Long non-coding RNA from Helianthus annuus (common sunflower), 268 nucleotides. RefSeq lists it as uncharacterized. The record is from RefSeq and is a predicted model, not a curated record. NCBI's taxonomy places the organism in Eukaryota, Viridiplantae, Streptophyta, Magnoliopsida, Asterales, Asteraceae. The transcript is spliced from 2 exons.